Molecule: ribosomal RNA, 482 nt
Filed under: uncultured bacterium
Lineage: Bacteria
Description: partial 16S ribosomal RNA
Rfam family: Bacterial small subunit ribosomal RNA
Source: RNAcentral
AUUGAACGCUGGCGGCAUGCCUUACACAUGCAAGUCGAACGGUAACAGGUCUUCGGACGCUGACGAGUGGCGAACGGGUGAGUAAUGCAUCGGAACGUGCCCAGUCGUGGGGGAUAACUGCUCGAAAGAGCAGCUAAUACCGCAUACGACCUGAGGGUGAAAGCGGGGGACCGUAAGGCCUCGCGCGAUUGGAGCGGCCGAUGUCAGAUUAGCUAGUUGGUGGGGUAAAGGCCUACCAAGGCAACGAUCUGUAGUUGGUCUGAGAGGACGACCAGCCACACUGGAACUGAGACACGGCGCAGACUCCUACGGGAGGAAGCAGUGGGGAAGAUUGGGCAAUGGGCGAAAGCCUGAUGCAGCAAUGACGCGUGAGGGAGGAAGGUCUGCGGAUAGGAAAAAGAUGUUAUGAGGGAAGAAAAAAUGUGGACGGAAACAGGGAGGGCGUGACGGUACCUGAGAAAAAAGCAACGGCGAACUACGUG